This 524-nucleotide long non-coding RNA is filed under the name Vulpes vulpes (red fox). RNAcentral's name for it is "lncRNA (ENSVVUG00000003216.1)". Lineage: Eukaryota; Metazoa; Chordata; Mammalia; Carnivora; Canidae. The record is from RNAcentral.
CUCAGCACUAAUGAGGGAGAGAUAGAAGAUCUGGAGGAGGAGCAGAGAAGCUGGGAAUCUUGGUGGGCUUCGUGGUGCAUUGUGGGUGCCUCAUGGCUGCUCCACUCUGCUAGUUGCCAUUUGACUCUAGAGAAGAGGAUCAGUAAAGACUCCUAAGAUUUCCUGGAACAAUCCUCUUUCCCUUCCUGGUUUUCUGUCCAAGAACCAUCUGCAGAAGAGUGGGUCAGACAGUGAGAAGCACCGGACGAAAAAGAUCUCAGCAUUUGAAUCUGCAGCAACUAAUCCAGAAGAAACACAGGAAAUAUCUUCUAAGAACUCGAAACAAUGUCAGUAUGAUUAGGAAAGUAUUUAAAAUUAUUCUGUUCACUUCAGAAAGAAGUGACUAUUAAGUUAUAAGUCAUGAAUUACUGGAAUAGGAAAAGUAGAUUGAGUCAUCUACACUGUGGAGAAGACUGGAAAAGAAAUUGAGCUGCCCAUAAGCUGAAAAUUAUUUAUUCAACUCAAUAAACAAUGAUGAGCAAUCA